RNAcentral lists this ribosomal RNA (212 nucleotides) under uncultured bacterium. RNAcentral describes it as "partial 16S ribosomal RNA". It matches the Rfam family "Bacterial small subunit ribosomal RNA", at positions 524 to 734 of the family's 1533-position model. The record is from RNAcentral.
UACGUAGGGUGCAAGCGUUAAUCGGAAUUACUGGGCGUAAAGCGUGCGCAGGCGGCUUUGCAAGACACGAUGUGAAAUCCCCGGGCUCAACCUGGGAACUGCAUUUGUGACUGCAUGGCUAGAGUGCGGCAGAGGGGGAUGGAAUUCCGCGUGUAGCAGUGAAAUGCGUAGAUAUGCGGAGGAACACCGAUGGCGAAGGCAAUCCCCUGGGC